GCCUGAUGGAGGGGGAUAACUACUGGAAACGGUAGCUAAUACCGCAUAACGUCGCAAGACCAAAGUGGGGGACCUUCGGGCCUCAUGCCAUCAGAUGUGCCCAGAUGGGAUUAGCUAGUAGGUGGGGUAACGGCUCACCUAGGCGACGAUCCCUAGCUGGUCUGAGAGGAUGACCAGCCACACUGGAACUGAGACACGGUCCAGACUCCUACGGGAGGCAGCAGUGGGGAAUAUUGCACAAUGGGCGCAAGCCUGAUGCAGCCAUGCCGCGUGUGUGAAGAAGGCCUUCGGGUUGUAAAGCACUUUCAGCGGGGAGGAAGGCGUUAAGGUUAAUAACCUUGGCGAUUGACGUUACCCGCAGAAGAAGCACCGGCUAACUCCGUGCCAGCAGCCGCGGUAAUACGGAGGGUGCAAGCGUUAAUCGGAAUUACUGGGCGUAAAGCGCACGCAGGCGGUCUGUCAAGUCGGAUGUGAAAUCCCCGGGCUCAACCUGGGAACUGCAUUCGAAACUGGCAGGCUAGAGUCUUGUAGAGGGGGGUAGAAUUCCAUGUGUAGCGGUGAAAUGCGUAGAGAUCUGGAGGAAUA
Molecule: ribosomal RNA, 585 nt
Filed under: Klebsiella pneumoniae subsp. ozaenae
Lineage: Bacteria; Pseudomonadati; Pseudomonadota; Gammaproteobacteria; Enterobacterales; Enterobacteriaceae
Description: bacterial SSU rRNA
Rfam family: Bacterial small subunit ribosomal RNA
Source: RNAcentral